AAACCGUUUCAGGGGUAAACCUGAGAAACCAAAAGAUCGAAUGGGGAGAUUCAUCGUCAACGGCGCUGGCUCCCGUUGGUGCGCGAUGCUCCGGAUGGUCCUUCGCGGUUCCAUUAGCGAGGGCACGCCACCUUCGGCUCGAACGUUCCGGCGCCGUAGUCGUGCACUUCUCCCCUAGUAGAACGUCGCGACCCGUUGUGUGUCGGUCUACGGCCCGAGAGAGCGCUUGUCGCGUCGCUUCGGCGUACGCGGCAACCCUCGGUCGCCCGGCCGGCUGCACGACGGUACACGCACGGUAUCGGGCCGCAACCAAUCCAUUCUCGAAUGUGUGUGCGUCCAGCCCGCCGCAAGCUUUGUCCUUAUCCGGAGAAUCGGGCUUUAUGUUCCGUUCACGGGCACUGGCAGCUGUUAGCAGGCGGAGACCUCGGACUGGCCAAGUCUCGAAUUACCGGUCGGCGACGCUAUUGCUUUGGGUACUCUCAGGACCCGUCUUGAAACACGGACCAAGGAGUCUAACAUGUGCGCGAGUCAUUGGGAUGCAUAAACCUAAAGGCGAAAUGAAAGUGAAAAUCGGCCUUCGCGUCGAUCGAGGGAGGAUGGGCCGCGUAACCAUGCGGCCUCGCACUCCCGGGGCGUCUCGUUCUCAUUGCGAGGAGAGGCGCACCUAGAGCGUA
This 674-nucleotide ribosomal RNA is filed under the name Bombus avinoviellus. Its description in RNAcentral is "eukaryotic LSU rRNA". It matches the Rfam family "Eukaryotic large subunit ribosomal RNA", at positions 402 to 804 of the family's 3401-position model. Lineage: Eukaryota; Metazoa; Arthropoda; Insecta; Hymenoptera; Apidae. The record is from RNAcentral.